UAGCUAGUUGGUGAGGUAACGGCUUACCAAGGCGACGAUCUGUAGCGGGUCUGAGAGGAUGAUCCGCCACACUGGAACUGAGACACGGUCCAGACUCCUACGGGAGGCAGCAGUGGGGAAUUUUGGACAAUGGGGGCACCCUGAUCCAGCCAUGCCGCGUGAGUGAAGAAGGCCUUCGGGUUGUAAAGCUCUUUCGGCCGGGAAGAAAUCGCAUGGGCCAAUACCCUGUGUGGAUGACGGUACCGGAAUAAGAAGCACCGGCUAACUACGUGCCAGCAGCCGCGGUAAUACGUAGGGUGCGAGCGUUAAUCGGAAUUACUGGGCGUAAAGCGUGCGCAGGCGGUUUUGUAAGACAGGCGUGAAAUCCCCGGGCUCAACCUGGGAACUGCGUUUGUGACUGCAAGGCUAGAGUACGGCAGAGGGGGGUGGAAUUCCACGUGUAGCAGUGAAAUGCGUAGAGAUGUGGAGGAACACCAACGGCGAAGGCAGCCCCCUGGGUCGAUACUGACGCUCAUGCACGAAAGCGUGGGUAGCAAACAGGAUUAGAUACCCUGGUAGUCCACGCCCUAAACUAUGUCAACUAGGUGUUGGGUGGGUAAAACCAUUUAGUACCGUAGCUAACGCGUGAAGUUGACCGCCUGGGGAGUACGGCCGCAAGGUUAAAACUCAAAGGAAUUGACGGGGACCCGCACAAGCGGUGGAUGAUGUGGAUUAAUUCGAUGCAACGCGAAAAACCUUACCUACCCUUGACAUGCCAGGAACUUGCCAGAGAUGGCUUGGUGCCCGAAAGGGAGCCUGGACACAGGUGCUGCAUGGCUGUCGUCAGCUCGUGUCGUGAGAUGUUGGGUUAAGUCCCGCAACGAGCGCAACCCAUGUCGUUAAUUGCCAUCAUUUAGUUGGGCACUUUAGCGAGACUGCCGGUGACAAACCGGAGGAAGGUGGGGAUGACGUCAAGUCCUCAUGGCCCUUAUGGGUAGGGCUUCACACGUCAUACAAUGGUCGGUACAAAGGGUCGCCAAGCCGCGAGGUGGAGCCAAUCCCAGAAAGCCGAUCGUAGUCCGGAUUGCAGGCUGCAACUCGCCUGCAUGAAGUCGGAAUCGCUAGUAAUCGUGGAUCAGCAUGUCACGGUGAAUACGUUCCCGGGUCUUGUACACACCGCCCGUCACACCAUGGGAGCGGGUUCCGCCAGAAGUAGGUAGCCUAACCGUAAGGAGGGCGCUUACCACGGCGGGGUUCGUGACUGGGGUGAAGUCGUAACAAGGUAGCCGUAGGGGAACCUGCGGCUG
Molecule: ribosomal RNA, 1286 nt
Filed under: metagenome
Description: bacterial SSU rRNA
Rfam family: Bacterial small subunit ribosomal RNA
Source: RNAcentral